GACGAACGCUGGCGGCGUGCCUAAUACAUGCAAGUAGAACGCACAGUUUAUACCGUAGCUUGCUACACCAUAAACUGUGAGUUGCGAACGGGUGAGUAACGCGUAGGUAACCUGCCUGGUAGCGGGGGAUAACUAUUGGAAACGAUAGCUAAUACCGCAUAAUAUUGAUUAUUGCAUGAUAAUUGAUUGAAAGAUGCUAUUGCAUCACUACCAGAUGGACCUGCGUUGUAUUAGCUAGUAGGUGAGGUAACGGCUCACCUAGGCGACGAUACAUAGCCGACCUGAGAGGGUGAUCGGCCACACUGGGACUGAGGCACGGCCCAGACUCCUACGGGAGGCAGCAGUAGGGAAUCUUCGGCAAUGGACGAAAGUCUGACCGAGCAACGCCGCGUGAGGGAAGAAGGUUGUCGGAUCGUAAAGCUCUGUUGUAAGAGAAGAACGGGUGUGAGAGUGGAAAGUUCACACUGUGACGGUAUCUUACCAGAAAGGGACGGCUAACUACGUG
This 505-nucleotide ribosomal RNA is filed under the name uncultured bacterium. Its description in RNAcentral is "partial 16S ribosomal RNA". It matches the Rfam family "Bacterial small subunit ribosomal RNA", at positions 28 to 507 of the family's 1533-position model. The record is from RNAcentral.